AGGGGUGUAGCUCAGAUGGCCAGAGCGCCGGCCUCCAAAGCCGGAUGCCGCAGGUUCGACUCCUGCCGCCCCUGCCC
This 77-nucleotide transfer RNA is filed under the name Streptomyces scabiei. RNAcentral's name for it is "tRNA-Trp". It matches the Rfam family "tRNA". Rfam says of the family: Transfer RNA (tRNA) molecules are approximately 80 nucleotides in length. Their secondary structure includes four short double-helical elements and three loops (D, anti-codon, and T loops). Lineage: Bacteria; Bacillati; Actinomycetota; Actinomycetes; Kitasatosporales; Streptomycetaceae. The record is from RNAcentral.